UAGGGAAUCUUCCGCAAUGGACGCAAGUCUGACGGAGCAACGCCGCGUGAGUGAAGAAGGAUUUCGGUUCGUAAAACUCUGUUGUUAGAGAAGAACAGCGCAUAGAGUAACUGUUAUGCGUGUGACGGUAUCUAACCAGAAAGCCACGGCUAACUACGUGCCAGCAGCCGCGGUAAUACGUAGGUGGCAAGCGUUGUCCGGAUUUAUUGGGCGUAAAGCGAGCGCAGGCGGUAAAUUAAGUCUGAUGUGAAAGCCCCCGGCUCAACCGGGGAGGGUCAUUGGAAACUGGUUGACUUGAGUGCAGAAGAGGAGAGUGGAAUUCCAUGUGUAGCGGUGAAAUGCGUAGAUAAAUGGAGGAACACCAGUGGCGAAGGCGACUCUCUGGUCUGUAACUGACGCUGAGGCUCGAAAGCGUGGGUAGCAAACAGG
This 429-nucleotide ribosomal RNA is filed under the name Bacteroidota bacterium. RNAcentral's name for it is "Bacteroidetes bacterium partial 16S ribosomal RNA". It matches the Rfam family "Bacterial small subunit ribosomal RNA", at positions 355 to 776 of the family's 1533-position model. The record is from RNAcentral. Lineage: Bacteria; Pseudomonadati; Bacteroidota.